Molecule: ribosomal RNA, 899 nt
Filed under: Klebsiella variicola
Lineage: Bacteria; Pseudomonadati; Pseudomonadota; Gammaproteobacteria; Enterobacterales; Enterobacteriaceae
Description: bacterial SSU rRNA
Rfam family: Bacterial small subunit ribosomal RNA
Source: RNAcentral
CUGCUCAGAUUGAACGCUGGCGGCAGGCCUAACACAUGCAAGUCGAGCGGUAGCACAGAGAGCUUGCUCUCGGGUGACGAGCGGCGGACGGGUGAGUAAUGUCUGGGAAACUGCCUGAUGGAGGGGGAUAACUACUGGAAACGGUAGCUAAUACCGCAUAACGUCGCAAGACCAAAGUGGGGGACCUUCGGGCCUCAUGCCAUCAGAUGUGCCCAGAUGGGAUUAGCUAGUAGGUGGGGUAACGGCUCACCUAGGCGACGAUCCCUAGCUGGUCUGAGAGGAUGACCAGCCACACUGGAACUGAGACACGGUCCAGACUCCUACGGGAGGCAGCAGUGGGGAAUAUUGCACAAUGGGCGCAAGCCUGAUGCAGCCAUGCCGCGUGUGUGAAGAAGGCCUUCGGGUUGUAAAGCACUUUCAGCGGGGAGGAAGGCGGUGAGGUUAAUAACCUCAUCGAUUGACGUUACCCGCAGAAGAAGCACCGGCUAACUCCGUGCCAGCAGCCGCGGUAAUACGGAGGGUGCAAGCGUUAAUCGGAAUUACUGGGCGUAAAGCGCACGCAGGCGGUCUGUCAAGUCGGAUGUGAAAUCCCCGGGCUCAACCUGGGAACUGCAUUCGAAACUGGCAGGCUAGAGUCUUGUAGAGGGGGGUAGAAUUCCAGGUGUAGCGGUGAAAUGCGUAGAGAUCUGGAGGAAUACCGGUGGCGAAGGCGGCCCCCUGGACAAAGACUGACGCUCAGGUGCGAAAGCGUGGGGAGCAAACAGGAUUAGAUACCCUGGUAGUCCACGCUGUAAACGAUGUCGAUUUGGAGGUUGUGCCCUUGAGGCGUGGCUUCCGGAGCUAACGCGUAAAUCGACCGCCUGGGAGACGCGCUGACAAUCGGAUGACCGCCCUUUUUC